GCACCUGCCUCAUCACUCGGAUCGUUCGGCACGUACCUGCCGAUGGAGGAAAUUCU
This 56-nucleotide non-coding RNA is filed under the name Corynebacterium epidermidicanis. RNAcentral's name for it is "msiK RNA". It matches the Rfam family "msiK RNA". Lineage: Bacteria; Bacillati; Actinomycetota; Actinomycetes; Mycobacteriales; Corynebacteriaceae. The record is from RNAcentral.